Molecule: non-coding RNA, 398 nt
Organism: Paramuricea clavata
Lineage: Eukaryota; Metazoa; Cnidaria; Anthozoa; Malacalcyonacea; Plexauridae
Source: the annotation of a GenBank genome assembly
ACCUUGCCUGGACCGAUAGGAGUUUUCUUCUCUGACAUUUUGAAAUAAACACGUAUGUAGAAACACACAAACUAAAACAGCAAGUUAAAUUUUAACUCAGGGUUGUCACUAGUCCAGCUUUGAACAACCGGCCCCAGAGUAAUUACACAUACGGUACUAUAACUUAUACUUACUUAUACUUACGGUACUAUUACUUAUUUAAAAUUUCCUAAUAUUAUAUAAUUAUAUUAUUUAUGGCUAGAAAUAAAUAAUGAGUAUCUAAAAGUCAAUAAUUGUUAAUUGUCAAGUCUCACUCAGCUGGUUUGCUUUUAGUUACUGCUCUUCGAGCCCCACAGCAUUUGUCCUGUACCAUUUUUGAAAACUGCAUAGCAGCUGUCUUUCUGUAGACUGUAUCAUCC